GACGAACGCUGGCGGCGUGCUUAACACAUGCAAGUCGAACGGAAAGGCCCUGCUUUUGUGGGGUGCUCGAGUGGCGAACGGGUGCGUAACACGUGAGUAACCUGCCCUUGACUUUGGGAUAACUUCAGGAAACUGGGGCUAAUACCGGAUAGGAGCUCCUGCUGCAUGGUGGGGGUUGGAAAGUUUCGGCGGUUGUGGAUGGACUCGCGGCUUAUCAGCUUGUUGGUGGGGUAGUGGCUUACCAAGGCUUUGACGGGUAGCCGGCCUGAGAGGGUGACCGGCCACAUUGGGACUGCGAUACGGCCCAGACUCCUACGGGGGGCAGCAGUGGGGAAUAUGGCACAAUGGGCGGAAGCCUGAUGCAGCAACGCCGCGUUCGGGAUGACGGCCUUCGGGUUGUAAACCGCUUUCGCCUGUGACGAAGCGUGAGUGACGGUAAUGGGUAAAGAAGCACCGGCUAACUACGUG
Molecule: ribosomal RNA, 468 nt
Filed under: uncultured bacterium
Lineage: Bacteria
Description: partial 16S ribosomal RNA
Rfam family: Bacterial small subunit ribosomal RNA
Source: RNAcentral